AAGUCGUAACAAGGUUUCCGUAGGUGAACCUGCGGAAGGAUCAUUAACAAAUCUGCUAUGCGGCCGAGUCUUCGGACUUGACGCAUAUAUUAGCCCCGAGCCUGGCAGCAAUGCCGGCUUUGGUUGGGUGGGACGCAAGUCCUGCUCCGGUUGUGUGAGGACGCAAGCCCUUGCCAGCCACAUAGACGCUUGUAUGUUUGACAGAGUUACAGUUGUAAAACUAAAAUGACAACUUUUAACAAUGGAUCUCUUGGCUCUUGCAACGAUGAAGAACGCAGUGAAAUGCGAAAAGUAAUGCGAUUUGCAUGAAUCUGUGAGUCAUCAAGUCUUUGAACGCACCUUGCACCGUAUGAGCAAUCGUACGGUAUACCUGUUUGAGAAUCGUAAAACCCUCUUUCUACUACCCUUUGGGGUUUGUGGAAGAUUUGUUGGUUGUGCACCUCGGUGUACUCUGAUUAAAAGGAUCAAGUCUGGAUUUGGCUGGUGGCCAAGGACACUGUGUGCUAGAGACGUCGCUUCGGCUGACUGUCUUCUCACAGUGCGUCCUAGGCUAUUCAAAGCUGGUCUCAUCCUAGACUUUUCAGUGUGCCUAAAAACCACACAACCUUUUUUUUGAUCUCAAAUCAGGUAAGGCUACCCGCUGAACUUAA
This 650-nucleotide ribosomal RNA is filed under the name uncultured fungus. RNAcentral describes it as "eukaryotic LSU rRNA". The stretch from base 231 to 384 matches the Rfam family "5.8S ribosomal RNA". Lineage: Eukaryota; Fungi. The record is from RNAcentral.